This 333-nucleotide ribosomal RNA is filed under the name uncultured bacterium. RNAcentral describes it as "bacterial SSU rRNA". It matches the Rfam family "Bacterial small subunit ribosomal RNA", at positions 8 to 355 of the family's 1533-position model. The record is from RNAcentral.
AGAGUUUGAUUCUGGCUCAGAUUGAACGCUGGCGGCAGGCUUAACACAUGCAAGUCGAGCGGGGACUUCGGUCCUAGCGGCGAACGGGUGAGGAAUGCUUGGGAAUCUGCCCAGUAGUGGGGGAUAACGUUUCGAAAGGAACGCUAAUACCGCAUACGUCCUACGGGAGAAAGGGGGGGAUCUUCGGACCUCUCGCUAUUGGAUGAGCCCAAGUCGGAUUAGCUAGUUGGUGGGGUAAAGGCCCACCAAGGCGACGAUCCGUAGCUGGUCUGAGAGGAUGAUCAGCCACACUGGAACUGAGACACGGUCCAGACUCCUACGGGAGGCAGCAGU